GUCCUACAUCCGGGUGCUGAGCGCCUCCUGGGGCAGGGGGCCGCCCUUCCUCCUGCAGGGCCCUGCAGCACCGACAGGACCCUGCUGCGGGGUCCCUGCUGGGCUAGGCGAGCCUGAGCGCUUCCGCAGCCUCAUCUGGAGAGAACGAGUAAAAAUAUUUCCCCGCGGGAUCCUGAGAUCAGCAGCACGGGACGACGGCGCCCCCUGGCGGCAGGUCGGAUCUCCGUAUGCUCUAGGCCUGGCCGGGCAGGCGGGCGGCGUGGGCCUCGCAGCGACGUGUUGGAAGGAACGCUGCUUCCAGGGUCAGGAGCCUGGGCGGGAAGCGCUAAGAUUGGUAGCUGUCAUCCCAGUACUCAGGAGGCCAAGGCAGGAGGAUGGAUGCAAAUUUAAGGCCAGUGCUAUGUAGCAGGUUCAAGGCCAGCCUGAACGACACAGCGAGACCCUGUUUCAAAACAAAAGCAAAAACAGAAACAGAUUUGGGACUGGCAGUUCCCAAGCCCUGGCCCUUCCUGUAGGAGGGGCUGGAGGAGGCUGGGAGGCUGGCGCAGGUGACCUGCUCCCCUGGGUCCUGCCUGUUCCUGCAGCAGAAGCGGUUCACAGGAUUCCCACACCGGAAGAGCCAACUUCAUCACCCCUACCUAGAAAGUUUGGUGGCUGCCACAUCCCAAGGGAGAAGGCCAGGGAGGAGAAAGUGACAGUGGCAGCCCCUCUAGCACACAGCUCCCAUGCCUAUGACCCUGCGGUCUGCACCUCUUCUGGCCUGACUUGCCGCCCCCCACCCCCACCCCAUGACCCCAGGAGGAGGCCUGGGGCCUGGCCCAGUGUGAGCAGGGCUGGGCCAGCUGGGCAGACAGAGGAGAGGAACUCAGGUUGGAGACACCAGGCCUGGAGAGACCUUCUGUUGCCCACUCGUGUCUCCCCACUGAUUAAACCUCUUCUCGGAGUGUUCAGGGGAACCCAAGAAAGGGAAGGAAAGACAAGGGGCCCAGCCCUGGCUGAGGACCGCCAUGCGGCAGGACAGCACGGGGACCCUGCAGGUCCGUGUGCCCUCAGGGCCCGCCAGCCGCUCCUGUGGGCUCUCGGGUGGGAGCAGGCAGCCGCAGGCAGGAUCGAGACAGCCCCUGCUGUCCUUCAUGUUCGUUUUGUGUUCAGGGAAACCCCAUGGCAUUCUGGUUCCUGUUUUGAUGGUUUUUAGAGCUUUUCUGAGGCACAGCUGAUACAGUCGCACUGCUUUUCAGUGUGGACCCUGGUGACUCAGUUCCCACACUCACAGGACUGAACUUAUGGAUCACCUCCAAGAAUUUCCCCGCAUAUGUGCGCGCGCAUGUGUGUGUGUACCCAUGCGUGUUUCCGUGUAAGAACACAACAGAUUUUAAACCGUUUAAAGGGGCACAGCCCUGUUGUCACCAACAGGCCCCAUGUUGUGCUGCUGCAGAUUUCUCCACCUCCCCAACUCCCGGCAGCCCCUGUCCUCGCCCCUGCCUCUGUGUGACCGACUCUUGGAUCCCCGUACAAGUGGCAUCGUGCGGUAAUUUAAUUGUCCUCUGCAUCUGGCUCAUGUCACUGAGCGGAAGGACCUCUAGGUUUUCCACUUUGUUGCGGUUGGCAGGAUCCCUUCUUUUUUAGGGAACGAUGCCCCCUUGUAUGUAUGCACCGCGCUUUCUUUAUCCAUUCAUCUGCUGCUGGACACGUGGGUCACGUCCAUAUCUUGCUUAUUGUGAAUAUGGAAAAAUACAGUUUCAGUACACGAAGACACACUGCAAUGUACUCUGUUGACAGAAGGGAUAGCUGUGGCCGGGGAUUUAGCUCAGUGGUUUCGCCGCCUGCUGCGCAAGCACAAGGACCCAAGUCCUGCCCGAGGACCCCUCUUCCACCGCCCCAGCUUCAGCGGGGGGGUCCUGUCCCCUCCC
This 1910-nucleotide long non-coding RNA is filed under the name Heterocephalus glaber (naked mole-rat). RNAcentral describes it as "lncRNA (ENSHGLG00000043335.1)". Lineage: Eukaryota; Metazoa; Chordata; Mammalia; Rodentia; Bathyergidae. The record is from RNAcentral.